AUUGAACGCUGGCGGCAGGCCUAACACAUGCAAGUCGAACGGUAACAGGAAGAAGCUUGCUUCUUUGCUGACGAGUGGCGGACGGGUGAGUAAUGUCUGGGAAACUGCCUGAUGGAGGGGGAUAACUACUGGAAACGGUAGCUAAUACCGCAUAACGUCUCAAGACCAAAGAGGGGGACCUUCGGGCCUCUUGCCAUCGGCUGUGCCCAGAUGGGAUUAGCUAGUAGGUGGGGUAACGGCUCACCUAGGCGACGAUCCCUAGCUGGUCUGAGAGGAUGACCAGCCACACUGGAACUGAGACACGGUCCAGACUCCUACGGGAGGCAGCAGUGGGGAAUAUUGCACAAUGGGCGCAAGCCUGAUGCAGCCAUGCCGCGUGUAUGAAGAAGGCCUUCGGGUUGUAAAGUACUUUCAGCGGGGAGGAAGGGAGUAAAGUUAAUACCUUUGCUCAUUGACGUUACCCGCAGAAGAAGCACCGGCUAACUCCGUG
Molecule: ribosomal RNA, 490 nt
Filed under: uncultured bacterium
Lineage: Bacteria
Description: partial 16S ribosomal RNA
Rfam family: Bacterial small subunit ribosomal RNA
Source: RNAcentral